UGGGGAAUAUUGGACAAUGGGGGCAACCCUGAUCCAGCAAUGCCGCGUGUGUGAAGAAGGUCUUCGGAUUGUAAAGCACUUUCGACGGGGACGAUGAUGACGGUACCCGUAGAAGAAGCCCCGGCUAACUUCGUGCCAGCAGCCGCGGUAAUACGAAGGGGGCUAGCGUUGCUCGGAAUGACUGGGCGUAAAGGGCGUGUAGGCGGUUUACACAGUCAGAUGUGAAAUCCCCGGGCUUAACCUGGGAGCUGCAUUUGAUACGUGUAGACUAGAGUGUGAGAGAGGGUUGUGGAAUUCCCAGUGUAGAGGUGAAAUUCGUAGAUAUUGGGAAGAACACCGGUGGCGAAGGCGGCAACCUGGCUCAUUACUGACGCUGAGGCGCGAAAGCGUGGGGAGCGAACAGGAUUAGAUACCCUGGUAGUCCACGCUGUAAACGAUGUGUGCUAGAUGUUGGGUAACUUUGUUAUUCAGUGUCGCAGUUAACGCGUUAAGCACACCGCCUGGGGAGUACGGCCGCAAGGUUGAAAC
This 528-nucleotide ribosomal RNA is filed under the name uncultured bacterium. RNAcentral's name for it is "partial 16S ribosomal RNA". It matches the Rfam family "Bacterial small subunit ribosomal RNA", at positions 355 to 900 of the family's 1533-position model. The record is from RNAcentral.